AUUGAACGCUGGCGGCAGGCCUAACACAUGCAAGUCGAGCGGCAGCGGAAAGUAGCUUGCUACUUUGCCGGCGAGCGGCGGACGGGUGAGUAAUGUCUGGGAAACUGCCUGAUGGAGGGGGAUAACUACUGGAAACGGUAGCUAAUACCGCAUGACCUCGAAAGAGCAAAGUGGGGGAUCUUCGGACCUCACGCCAUCGGAUGUGCCCAGAUGGGAUUAGCUAGUAGGUGAGGUAAUGGCUCACCUAGGCGACGAUCCCUAGCUGGUCUGAGAGGAUGACCAGCCACACUGGAACUGAGACACGGUCCAGACUCCUACGGGAGGCAGCAGUGGGGAAUAUUGCACAAUGGGCGCAAGCCUGAUGCAGCCAUGCCGCGUGUGUGAAGAAGGCCUUAGGGUUGUAAAGCACUUUCAGCGAGGAGGAAGGCACCAUACUUAAUACGUGUGGUGAUUGACGUUACUCGCAGAAGAAGCACCGGCUAACUCCGUGCCAGCAGCCGCGGUAAUACGGAGGGUGCAAGCGUUAAUCGGAAUUACUGGGCGUAAAGCGCACGCAGGCGGUUUGUUAAGUCAGAUGUGAAAUCCCCGCGCUUAACGUGGGAACUGCAUUUGAAACUGGCAAGCUAGAGUCUUGUAGAGGGGGGUAGAAUUCCAGGUGUAGCGGUGAAAUGCGUAGAGAUCUGGAGGAAUACCGGUGGCGAAGGCGGGCCCCCUGCGACAAGACUGACGCGUGGGGCGAAAGGUGGGGAGCCCACAGGAUAAAAGCCCUUGUACUCCGGGGGCGAACUUACUUGGAUAUCGGCUGAGGAGACCCGGCGCCGCGUUCGUGUUUUUUAUACGAUUUUGUACGAUAAAGGGGGGGUUAUAUAGCCUGGCA
This 877-nucleotide ribosomal RNA is filed under the name uncultured Enterobacteriaceae bacterium. RNAcentral describes it as "bacterial SSU rRNA". It matches the Rfam family "Bacterial small subunit ribosomal RNA". Lineage: Bacteria; Pseudomonadati; Pseudomonadota; Gammaproteobacteria; Enterobacterales; Enterobacteriaceae. The record is from RNAcentral.